Molecule: small nucleolar RNA, 130 nt
Organism: Artibeus jamaicensis (Jamaican fruit-eating bat)
Lineage: Eukaryota; Metazoa; Chordata; Mammalia; Chiroptera; Phyllostomidae
Product: small nucleolar RNA SNORA1
Exons: 1
Source: RefSeq, a predicted model, not a curated record
UGACUGUAGGAAUUUAAAAAUAAGAAGAUAAUACUUGUGUCCAGAAAUUAUUAAUAUGGCUACAUUGAGACACAGGUUAUGCUUCCAUAACAGUGAUUAUUGCAGUGGGACAAUGAGACUUGUAACAUUU